Non-coding RNA from Camellia sinensis, 502 nucleotides. The record is from RefSeq and is a predicted model, not a curated record. Lineage: Eukaryota; Viridiplantae; Streptophyta; Magnoliopsida; Ericales; Theaceae.
CAAGGGAUAUGGGUCUAGUGCAGCUGAUCUCAUCGCAUCGAACAGUCCAUAGAGUGGUUGUAUUGGGAACACUAUGUGCCCUAGAACUUCGAGCGGAAGGCUCUAACAUUGGUUAUGCAUCGCUUUAUGCACGCUCUCUUCUUCAGAACCUCCGUGAAGAUGGUAUUUACAUGAGGCCUCUGGGCAAUGUUAUUUACCUCAUGUGUGGGCCUUGCACAUCCCCUCUCAUCUGCCGCCAACUACUGGAAAAACUUUACAGAAGACUUGAGGAGUUCGGCCAAGCCAAUGAGAACUUGAAAUCCUGUGAAUUUUAGUUGUUGCAGCAGCUUAUGAUCUUCGGUUCUCAAUUUUAAUAUAUUUUUAUAUUUAUUCAUCAGUUUGUAGUUCACCAAUAAAAGUAGUAUAUCUUUGUUGGCUGAGCUUGGUUUUUGAAUGUAAUCUAUUUAUUCUUCUCUAGCCUCAAAUAUAUUGAACUCAGACUUCCAUUAAGGGUUGGACAUUA